CAAAAUCAGGGAAUAGAAAAAACCAUCGUUUUUGGGUGAACCUCUUUAGGCGUAUUAGUUAUGCCAUUGACUAGAGGUUCAGUUAAUGAUGUUACAUUC
Impatiens glandulifera is the source of this 99-nucleotide small nucleolar RNA. RefSeq annotates it as small nucleolar RNA snoR74. The transcript has a single exon. The record is from RefSeq and is a predicted model, not a curated record. Lineage: Eukaryota; Viridiplantae; Streptophyta; Magnoliopsida; Ericales; Balsaminaceae.